Long non-coding RNA from Aethalodelphis obliquidens (Pacific white-sided dolphin), 2050 nucleotides. RefSeq lists it as uncharacterized. Lineage: Eukaryota; Metazoa; Chordata; Mammalia; Artiodactyla; Delphinidae. The record is from RefSeq and is a predicted model, not a curated record. The transcript is spliced from 2 exons.
AACUACUGAGCCCACGUGCCACAACUACUGAAGCCCGUGCACCUCGAAGUAUAAAAUAAAUAUUCAUGAGUGCAUACUGAUAUAAAUGAUUGAAUAAAUGGAGCACAGACAAACCUCCCAAACAAAAGAAUUCUGAAUAAUUUAUGUAGCUACUCUACCCUCAAGGGUGUGGGGCAUAACUCCCCAUCCCUUAAGUGGGCUGUGCACAUGGACUUCCUUCUAAAGGGAACAGCAGGGGAAGGGGAAGAAAGAGGAACCUUAUGGUGGGGAAACCUGGCAAGCCUCAGCCAGGUGGCCAGGGUUAACAGCAUUAGUGAUGAGCCAUGUUGAUAGCAUGUACCAUUGAUAGGAUGUGAUCAGAGGGCACGUGACCUCUGUGGUGUUCCUCCCCCCAGACUCAGUCUAAUCAGAAAAAAUUGACACAAAUUCCAGUUGGUGGACAUUCUGCAAAAUACUUAACGAGUCCUCAAAACUGUCAAGGUCAUUCAAAGCAAGGAAAGUCUAAGGAUGUCACAGCCAAGAGCAGCCUAAGGAGACAUAAUGACUAUAUGUAAUGAGGUAUCUUGGAUGGGAUCCUGGGGCAGAGAAAGGACAUCAGGUAAAAACUAAGGAUUCUGAACAAAGUAUGGACUUUAGUUAAUAUAUCAAUAUUGGCCAGUAGUUAGGAUGAAUGUAUCAUAUUUAUAUGAGAUGCUAACAAGAGGGGGAACUGACUCAGGGGUAUAUGGGAACUCAGUGCAAGUUUGUUUUUUAAAAUGCAUUAUUGUCAUUGUUGUUAUUUUUCCACAUCUGUGUUUCUGCAGGGGGCAGAGAAAGCUUCCCAUUAAGUUGGGCUGGUGAUGAGCACUCUGCCCGCCUGCCUGGCUUUCUUCUUGGAUGUGCCCGAGAAGUAGGAGGGAGGAAUAUCAGCCGCCUGGCCCCGUCCUCUGAACCUCCUGCACCAGCUGGUAGAAAGCAGAGGCAAAGAGGUUGUUGCGAGGAAGUGAAAGAGGAUGUCCAGGAACCAGUCAGGCAUGCCGGGCUGGAGUGGAGAAGGCUGGCUGUGGUCAGCUCCCGGGAAGACUGCCUCACCGGCGCCUUGCUUGUGACUCACGCAGCAUCACACUCUGCACGGGGGUGGCAUGCAUUUGGUGCAGGGGGCGUUGCUCUAUGCCAGGGACCUGACAGACAGUGGGCAGCGGGUUAGAAGGGUGAGGUGAGCCUGCCCCUGCUGUUCACUGUCACCAUCCUUGUCCUGGUGGAAGAUGGGAGCAGGCAUUCAGGGCCUCGGUCAUCCACCGCUGGAGCUAACUCGUGCAUGUUCAGCUACUGCUCCCCACCCCCGAGGCUGCCCAUUUCAGAGACCUGGGGUGCUGGAAGCACAUGGGCUUUGGAGGCAGCAGAUGUGGGUUCAGGUUCAGACUCCACUACCUGAUAGCUAGGAAACCUUGGGUGAGUCACUUAAGCUCUCUGACCUGUUUCUCCAGUUGUAAAAUGCAGACACACACCUGCCUCACCCACCUCAUGAGGUUGAGUCAAGGAUCAAAUGAGGAGAGACAGUGACCAGGAGGCGCUCUCUCAGGGGUUGUUUGGAUGGAGGUGACAAGAACGAUCAGCAUCCUUCAGGCAGAAGAGAAAGUUUGCUGCCCCCUGGUGCAAAUCGUGGAAGAACAAAAUAUUAGCAAAAUACUUCCCCAAAAUGAAUACCUGCGUCCCCAAAUGAAAGCAACACUGAACAGCCCUCCAUCAUAGACCUCCGUAUCCUUGUAUUAACAUCAAGCCCUAUUAUCAGCGUUAGGAGAGCAGACUUUCAUUGUACCGAACUUAUCCCAGACGGUGAACGAGACAUCCUAUGUCUUUGUUAAGAUUUGGUCUCUGCAGUGCCUGUAUCUUAGUAGCCCUGGCCACAGAGGGUCUAGGAAGCCUGCAGGCCUAAGAACAGUCAUUUCCCACCCCAGCCAUUACCCUUUCCUCUGACUCGGGAUGCUGAAGCUACUGGCUAUUUCCUGCACGUAGCCCAGUGACCCUCUUCCGUAAGGAGGUGGGAUCAAUGUAAACAUGGUGGGAAGAA